Molecule: long non-coding RNA, 551 nt
Organism: Micropterus salmoides (largemouth bass)
Lineage: Eukaryota; Metazoa; Chordata; Actinopteri; Centrarchiformes; Centrarchidae
Exons: 3
Source: RefSeq, a predicted model, not a curated record
AUAGAACAACGUCUCGCGCUUCAUCCGCAAAAUGACAUAAAUUUUAGGAAGUGGUUUUAGCAAAGGAAGAGUGCUGUGACAGAAAAUUAUCUGGAAAUCACAGCCGAACCAGGGAACAGUGUUAAAGACGGAGACAUUUGUAUCGAUCACAGCAUGCAUCUGAAGAUAUGGCGCCCACUUUCUCUGAUGUGCUGUGUAUUUGUCCAGACAAACAUGCACACAGAGCACACCUUUCCUGUGUUUCCCUGAAUACUGGGCUGUUGGGGAAGACGACUCUCAGGAGGCAAAGUAAAGCCGAUGAGGAGGAAACUUGAUCGCUUUGUUUCUCCGUCCUCACCUCUAAUUCUUGUGCGAUGGACCGGCCUCUGCUGGGACGAGGUUCAGCCCGGCGCUGCUGCUCCUAUAGCACCCUGAAGGCCUGGCUGCCCAUCCUCUCCUGGUUACCCAGUUACAAGCUGAAGUGGCUUCAGAUGGACCUGCUCGCAGGCCUCACCGUUGGGCUGACAACUGUACCGCAGGCACUGGCUUAUGCUGAAGUAGCUGGCCUUCCU